UGGGGAAUAUUGCACAAUGGGCGCAAGCCUGAUGCAGCCAUGCCGCGUGUGUGAAGAAGGCCUUCGGGUUGUAAAGCACUUUCAGCGAGGAGGAAGGGUUCAGUGUUAAUAGCACUGUUCAUUGACGUUACUCGCAGAAGAAGCACCGGCUAACUCCGUGCCAGCAGCCGCGGUAAUACGGAGGGUGCAAGCGUUAAUCGGAAUUACUGGGCGUAAAGCGCACGCAGGCGGUUUGUUAAGUCAGAUGUGAAAUCCCCGCGCUUAACGUGGAACUGCAUUUGAAACUGGCAAGCUAGAGUCUUGUAGAGGGGGGUGAGAAUUCCAGGUGUAGCGGUGAAAUGCGUAGAGAUCUGGAGGAAUACCGGUGGCGAAGGCGGCCCCCCUGGACAAAGACUGACGCUCAGGUGCGAAAGCGU
This 416-nucleotide ribosomal RNA is filed under the name uncultured bacterium. RNAcentral's name for it is "partial 16S ribosomal RNA". It matches the Rfam family "Bacterial small subunit ribosomal RNA", at positions 355 to 762 of the family's 1533-position model. The record is from RNAcentral.